CGAACGGGUGAGUAACACGUGAGUAAUCCACCCUCGGCAUCCGAAUAGCCCGGGGAAACCCGGAUUAAUGCGGAAUAGCCCAUCUGCCCUUCGGGGCGGCUGGAAAAGGUAGCUUCGGCCUCCAGCCGGGGACGAGCUCGCGGCGGAUUAGCUUGUUGGCGGGGUAAAAGCCCACCAAGGCGACGAUCCGUAGCUGGUCUGAGAGGACGAUCAGCCACACUGGGACUGAGACACGGCCCAG
This 241-nucleotide ribosomal RNA is filed under the name uncultured bacterium. Its description in RNAcentral is "partial 16S ribosomal RNA". It matches the Rfam family "Bacterial small subunit ribosomal RNA", at positions 99 to 334 of the family's 1533-position model. The record is from RNAcentral.